CCUACGGGGGGCAGCAGUAGGGAAUCUUCCGCAAUGGACGAAAGUCUGACGGAGCAACGCCGCGUGAGCGAAGAAGGUCUUCGGAUCGUAAAGCUCUGUUGUUAGGGAAGAACAAGUACGGGAGGAAAUGACCGUACCUUGACGGUACCUAACGAGGAAGCCACGGCUAACUACGUGCCAGCAGCCGCGGUAAUACGUAGGUGGCAAGCGUUGUCCGGAGUUAUUGGGCGUAAAGCGCGCGCAGGCGGUCUUUUAAGUCUGAUGUGAAAUCUUGCGGCUCAACCGCAAGCGGUCAUUGGAAACUGGGGGGCUUGAGUGCAGAAGGAGAAAGCGGAAAUCCACGGGGAGCGGUGAAAUGGGGAGAGAUGUGGGGGGAACCCAGGGGGGGAAGCGGGUUUCUGGUCUGUAACUGACGCUGAGGCGCGAAAGCGUGGGGAGCAAACAGGAUUAGAUACCCGUGUAGUC
Molecule: ribosomal RNA, 465 nt
Filed under: uncultured bacterium
Lineage: Bacteria
Description: bacterial SSU rRNA
Rfam family: Bacterial small subunit ribosomal RNA
Source: RNAcentral